This 69-nucleotide transfer RNA is filed under the name Urocitellus parryii (Arctic ground squirrel). RNAcentral describes it as "Spermophilus parryii (Arctic ground squirrel) tRNA". It matches the Rfam family "tRNA". From Rfam's summary of the family: Transfer RNA (tRNA) molecules are approximately 80 nucleotides in length. Their secondary structure includes four short double-helical elements and three loops (D, anti-codon, and T loops). Further hydrogen bonds mediate the characteristic L-shaped molecular structure. tRNAs have two regions of fundamental functional importance: the anti-codon, which is responsible for specific mRNA codon recognition, and the 3' end, to which the tRNAs corresponding amino acid is attached (by aminoacyl-tRNA synthetases). tRNAs cope with the degeneracy of the genetic code in two manners: having more than one tRNA (with a specific anti-codon) for a particular amino acid; and 'wobble' base-pairing, i.e. permitting non-standard base-pairing at the 3rd anti-codon position. RNAcentral also lists the same sequence under 1 other name. Lineage: Eukaryota; Metazoa; Chordata; Mammalia; Rodentia; Sciuridae. The record is from Rfam by way of RNAcentral.
GGGGUUGUGGCUCAGUGGUAGAGCGCUCGCCUAGGAUGUGUGAGGCCCAGAGUUCGAUCCUUAGCACCA